RNAcentral lists this small RNA (829 nucleotides) under Pan troglodytes (chimpanzee). RNAcentral's name for it is "processed transcript". The record is from RNAcentral. Lineage: Eukaryota; Metazoa; Chordata; Mammalia; Primates; Hominidae.
AGUGUUCCGUGUCCGGGGGUUUGUGGGAGUUGCCUUGACCUGCAGCUCCGCCACUGCGGACCCGCCUUCUGCCCUCAGCAGCAGACGCUCUGUCCCGCCCGGGCAGCUCUGCGAGGCAGCGGCUGGAGAGGGAACCAUGGGGACUGUGCACGCCCGGUGACCACCAGUGAGUUAACCACCAAGCCAAGAACUUGCUCAUUAGCAAUAGCUGACGGCACCUUUGUACUCCCUGGUCCCUAUUCCUGCCCCUACCUCUACUUGAAGGGAACAACUACUGAAUUUUCUGCAGCACCAUCUAAAGACAAAACUCAAAGGUGCUUGUUCAACAUGUUCAUUUUGAUGGACUUGGAAGGACUAAAGAUGAUGUCAUCAUUUGUGAAAUUGGAGAUGUUUUCAAGGCCAAAAACCUAAUUGAGGUAAUGCGGAAAUCUCAUGAAGCCCGUGAAAAAUUGCUCCGUCUUGGAAUUUUUAGACAAGUGGAUGUUUUGAUUGACACAUGUCAAGGUGAUGAUGCACUUCCAAAUGGGUUAGACGUUACCUUUGAAGUAACUGAAUUGAGGAGAUUAACGGGCAGUUAUAACACCAUGGUUGGAAACAAUGAAGGCAGUAUGGUACUUGGCCUCAAGCUUCCUAAUCUUCUUGGUCGUGCAGAAAAGGUGACCUUUCAGUUUUCCUAUGGAACAAAAGAAACUUCGUAUGGCCUGUCCUUCUUCAAACCACGGCCCGGAAACUUCGAAAGAAAUUUCUCUGUAAACUUAUAUAAAGUUACUGGACAGUUCCCUUGGAGCUCACUGCGGGAGACGGACAGAGGAAUGUCAGCUGAGUACAG